This is a long non-coding RNA of Cyprinus carpio carpio, 2600 nucleotides long. NCBI's taxonomy places the organism in Eukaryota, Metazoa, Chordata, Actinopteri, Cypriniformes, Cyprinidae. The record is from Ensembl.
AUGCCUGCAGAUGACUAUAACUGGGAGCUAUUAGCUGGAAAACGCAAUGGGAUCACAGCAUGAAGCCUUGUUUGCGGUUUGAGAAAGAUGCUGAUUGUACCUGCUGUGUUGAUUGUAUCUUAAAAUGGUUUGCAUCAUUCGAAUAACAAGAAUCUCAGCUUUCCAAGGAGUUGUUGUAUGUCACAAAGUUAACCCUCAAAAACACGCAGUGUACUGCGGGCAGAACAGUGGAACACUAACAGGUUAACUGCCCCCUCCGUCCGCGUGAAUAGAACGCUCUCUCCGCUCUCAUCCAUCCUGUGAUACGGAGGCCGUCGAAGGAAAUGAGCUCUCGUUCAUCAUUCCUCCCUCACUUCCAACUCACACAAACAAACAAACAAAUAAACACAUAAACAGCCCAUUACCGCCAGUCUCAGGCCUCAGCGAGCUCACGUACGGCCUGGGAAACGCUGGGAAUGAUGAUGUUUUUUUCUCCAUACAAACAUGUCUUUUUUUUCUGAAGGAGUUCAGGCUGGUUUUUGUGGUGAAUCUGUUGAGCGCUGUAUACGGCUCAGUGCUCGGUCUGACAGGCGUCUCAGCACAGCUGUAUUCUGCAUGCGUGUAUGUCUGUGUGUGUGUGUGUGGGCUGUACACAUGCUUUAACACUUGUUUGCUGUUCUCGUCUCAUCUCAGGGCCUCACCUGUGCCAGGUAAACAUCUGCUGCCGGCUCCCAGCAGGCAUUGCUCUGGGUGAGGGUGUGGCAUGCUCGUCUUGUGUGGCGGUGCUGCAGGUGGGCUCCGGCGGCUCGAGGGACUGAUAGAGUUAUUAACAGGUGAUGUUCUGGACAGAGUCCAUCUGACCCCACAGAGCCUUAAAUACAUCACUGUCCAACAGGGACCUCCAGAGACGAUGCCGAGCUUUAUCCGAGAGCUCUGGGUCGCCAGAAAUCGUCACCUAAUGGCUUUGACGGGGGACACACACUCGCCGCGUCUGUGUUUCUUUUGUCUUCAUUCAGAUUGAAAUGGACCGCUUGCAGCUCACGUGUAUCCAUCUUCCAGAACCCCCAGCUGUUCUGGUGUCUGCGGCCCAGCUUCCACGCAUCGCUUUACAAAUUGUCUGUGAAUAGUGUGAAUACCCCCCCACCACCACCACCACACACACACACUACCCCAUUACCGCCAUGUCCUGACAAAUGGUCCAUGUUUCUCUGAACGUGUGCUUGUGUGUUUACUGAUUUCAUCCACUGUUCGGUUGACAUCAAAACAGAAAUAUCAAAAAGCCUGAUUUUAGAUUCAGAAUAUUGAAAGGGAUGAAUCUUUGCAAUAUUCUUUUUCAUACUAUGAGAAUUUAUGAUGACUAUCCUUUGUCUGUCCUUUUAAAUGUCCUCAGAUGAUUGCAUCAGACUGAGCUCAGGUCACUGAUUCUGUAUUAGGUGUUAUAUUUCACAGAUGUCCAUUGUUUCAUGUGUCAUCAGCCCUGCUGGUUUGUAAGAACUGCAUCUUUUAUUAAAAAAAAAAGAGUUUGAUGGAAUGGAAAGGAAACAGAUUAUAGAAAAACUGCAACUGCGAGGCAAACAAACUGUCUCGCUUCCCUUUGUGAGAGUUUCAGAGGAAAUAAUUCAGACGGAUGGGAAGAUGAACGACCCGUCAGCUGAGGUCACAUGCUGAUUAGCCUUUUUCUCUGCUAUUUCACUCUUCGCAAACCAUUAUCCCUGACACACACUCCGGUUCUAUCCAUCCAUAAAAAUGAGGGAGGGCAGAGAGAGAGUGUGUGAAAGAGAGAGAGAGAGAUGCACUUGAAGACUUGUAGUAACAUCACUUGUAAUCGUGCUGUGCAGGUGGAUGCGAGGCCUUCCACAAUUUGAGCUGUUGUGAUUUAAAAUGACUUAUUGUGCAAGAUUUCUAUCAACUAUGAAUGAUGUUCUCAUCCCUAGAUAAUCUCUGCUUGUUUUAUGAUCUGCCUGGUGAAAAUACUAAGCCUGAUCAUUGAAGUAACAACACACCUCUCCUAAACAAGACAUGAUUUAAUGUUUCUUUCAUGCCUGUGGUCCAAAUGAUGCAACAAAAAUGACAAGCCAAAGUUUAAUAUUUAGUGUGUGCAUAUCAACGACUGUAAGUAUAAGCAAUGCUCGUCCUUAGUGAAUAUCAAUAAUAAAGGCAUUUCACGCUUAAUUCCCUGUGAAGUGUGAGUUAAAUCUUAAUAUGAGGAACUGCAGGGUAAAACAUGACACAUGCUGUCUGUCAUUUUGUUUUCUGACUCAGAGGAAAAUAAUAUCUGAAUGCAGUUCAGUAAUGGGAGCUGGAGAAAAUGACUCAGGCUCAUUAUGAUCUCCAUUUCUCUCCACAUUUGCUCUGAUGAAUGAUUCAGGCAGAACUGAUCGCCCGCUGUUUUCUGUGACCUACCUGUGCUUUCAUUCCACACUGAUACAAGCAGAAGAAUCAAUGAAAAACUACAGUGCUUUAUUUUGAUUAUGGUAUUUAAAUAGCUGAAAUAUGGCAGGUCAAAUCAGUGAAUGGUUUCUUAUUUUGUCCAAGGGGUUUCAGAAGGAUUUUAUUUAAGUAUUUUGAGAUAAUAUUUUAGAUUUUAUUAAUGUUUGAAUUAGUUUUUAUUUUUAUAUUUC